GCGCCCCGACACGCAAUCACACGCACACUUCUUGUUCAAAAGACGACGGAGUUUCCGUCGCUUCGCGCUCGGGUAUUUUCAAAUUGAUUCGUAAUUCCCGCUACCGCAUCUGAGAUCAGUUUCGGGAACUCUUCGUUAUCAAUUUCCUCGUCGAUCCUCGACGAUACUCCACGUUUUCCGUCGAUACUAACAUAACCGAAUUCACAACACACUAACCAACUACGUCUUUCGAGAACAAGCAUUAUGAUCUCGUCCAAGGGCUUCACGCCAACGCCCUAAGUCCUGAAUGUGAAAGGGGGUUUAUUGCACUCCGCGCAAUAAAGAACAAGACGGGGAAAGCCCGCAUAUCAUUCAAUGAAUAUAAAUUUGUCGAUUUACCAGAUAAAUCGUGGGUCACCGUAAUCUAGUCCACAGAUAUUCUAUCGUGGGAAUUGAUUUGAGUCUUUUACGUCUGCAAGAAAUAGGCGACGUGGUGUUUGAAGUGUCGGAAGAAGUGUUGGGGUGAGCAUUAGUAGACUUUUUAGAAAAAUCUUUCGUCAAACGUAUUAUUUAUUUAAACUUUAAAACCUGACAUAAAUUAAUUGUAAUAUAUUUGCGCAGUACUUGUUAAAUUUGAUAUUAUCAUUUUGAUAAGAUAUUGACAGGUCCGUCAAUUACUAUCAAACAACUGUAUGUACAUCAGAAUUGCUAAGUAAUAUAAUAUUAAUAAUUACAUAUAAUUGGAAAUCUUCGCGUUAAACGAAAAGCUUCUUUCUGUAAAAAGAUUAUGCAUUAAAAUUAUAAUGGGCACAAGCGCA
This is a long non-coding RNA of Wasmannia auropunctata (little fire ant), 797 nucleotides long. RefSeq lists it as uncharacterized. The record is from RefSeq and is a predicted model, not a curated record. The transcript is spliced from 2 exons. NCBI's taxonomy places the organism in Eukaryota, Metazoa, Arthropoda, Insecta, Hymenoptera, Formicidae.